UAUAAUCUCACUCCAUCCAGUGCUCUGUCACUCACCUAAAUCCUGGGUGGCAGGGGCUUCGUUCCCACACUGUGCAGAUUCAAGCAGACACCGGAUGCCCAGGGACCCUGGCUUUAGGAGUUGGCAAGGGAUUUACCCAAUGCUGAGCAGGAGUUCAAUGAGCUUCCGUUUCCUGCCUCUGCUCUUCCUUGCUCUCAGCCGCCUGCAAGGCAGCUGCCAUUCCCUGCUAUUGUCACUUAAAUGAAUUCCUUCCUUGCUUUUUGGAUAGUCUGACUUCCCUUGUUCCGGAACCAAAUUUCUUCCCUUGAGAAAGUUUUUCUUCCUCACCGAAGAUAGACGAGUGGUGUCCACUGACAGGCCACUUGACCACAGAGGUGUGGCUUCUUUACUCUGAAACAUCUUUCUUCUAGUUACUAUGAUAUUGAUGCCGGGGUUCUUGUUCAUGGCCGAAGAAUGAACUUCGCGAACAGUCAAGAGGCCCUCACCCUACUGUGUCUAAACCCAUGGUCCCUGUCUCAACCUCAGAUUUGUGAAAGCCAGGAAGACAGAUCUGAAUCCCAGCAUUUUACACAGACCUCCAUUCCCGAUUGGAGAUCUCAACAGCCCACUGUUACAGGGAACACGCCAAUGCCGUGAUUCUGCUAAUAUCACCAUUUUUGAGGAUCUUGCUUUUCUCAUGAGGAAUUCUUUGAUUCCUAUUUUAGCAGCUGUCUCCUGAGUAGACAAUAGUAAUGCGAUGGUGGGGGCUGGGCUGGAAAUGGUGGAUCAGGGUAGUGAGGUGGGCAGGCUCACAUUCUGGAAAUGUCUUUCUGGCCACUUUGUGGAGAACAGGUAAUGUAGAGAGGCCUCAGGACUGAGGUUGGGCUAGGACCUCUGUGAGGCAAGGUGAAGGGGAG
Manis javanica (Malayan pangolin) is the source of this 896-nucleotide long non-coding RNA. RefSeq lists it as uncharacterized. Lineage: Eukaryota; Metazoa; Chordata; Mammalia; Pholidota; Manidae. The record is from RefSeq and is a predicted model, not a curated record.